CUUAGACAUGACAUUCCUUGGCCUCCCUUUCAGCAAGAUGAGAAAACUGAGGCACAGAGAGGUGAAAUAAGGCCCCCAGAAUGCUCUUCUCCAAGACUUAGAAAAAUCAAAUGCUAUCCAUCCCUCAAGAUACAUCCCUCCAGCCCCUCCUUGAAGUCUCCUGCAGCUAGAAGUAGAAGUAGCAUCUAUCCCCAUCUGGACUCCUUAGCACUUUGCUGUACCUGCCUUAGUCCCCAUCUCUUUACACACACACACACACACACACACACACACACAGAGUAUUAUAAUACUAUUACCUAUUAUAUUACAUUAUAUUAUUGUAGUUCUACAGGAACUACAAGGAAUUCUACUGUGAAUUCCUUAAGGGUGGGAUACAUUUUACAAUCAUCACUGUUUCUCUCAUUAGUUGUGGAAUCAAAAAAAUGAGUGCACGAUGAAAAAUUAUUCAAACACAUACAUGCUUUCAUUCCAAUUGAAAAUGUAAAAAUAUUACUGUUAAAACAAUAUUAAAGGACAUGUAAUACAAUUCAAAUAUUCCUACCAUGCACGAUUGUUUUCACUUCUUUGUGCCUCUUUCACCAUUUAUUUGUGUGCAUACUCAGCAUAUUUGUUUGUGUAACAGGAUGUUAAAAAUAGAAUUUGUUGCCUGUAGUUUUUGCUAAAGCUCUACUAGACUGGAACAGAACAAUAGGUGGUAAAUACUCCAUUCCUCAGUGAGAUGCUACCUACCUAUGCAGAGCUGGAAAAGAUUUUGCAACCUGAAAACCCAAUCCUUUCUGAGAUAUAAAAGAACAGAAGAGUCUGGAAGUGAUUUCUUCGGAGAAAUUCAUUUUCUGUGAGUCUCACUCCUAAUCCCCUAUGAGAUAUCUGGGGGUGAAGGGCAGGUGCUGUUCCACACAGAGAGCUUGAUCCGUGCAUCUUGGAAGAGGGAGGUAGGUAGGGAACAGGGUGGGCUGCUUUGGGACCCAUGCCUUAAAACUCAGGUACUGGGGCUGGCUGGUUCUAAUGGCCAAGAGGUGAGAGGUGCACCUGUGGGGAACAACCUUCACUCUCAGUUUGUCAGGAUAGAGGAUAUGAGUCUUGCCCUGAGGAUGGGAUGUAGACUACAAGGGCAAGAGAGUCAGCUUAAAGAAAUCUGUAGAACUAUCUGCCAGGACUGAGGUGACCAUAGCAGAGAGAUGUUGGAGGUAUUCUGUUGGGAACAAGAUGGUGUGAGGUAAAGAUUGUAUUUGAUACCUGCUGGAGAAGAGAUCUUGCAUUAAGGCCAGCAUUAAGAGAACUUCAGAUGAGAAAUCCCUGGUGAAGCAGAGUCUCCAAAGAAUGCAUAAGAGCUCUGCAGUGAGAAAGAGAUCACCUGAAUACCUUCCAAAAUCAAAGCGUGGCAGUGACCAGCUAAGCAGAUCUUUCCUGUCUUCUACCUGGAAGGGCCUGAAACUGCAAUUCAUGAGUUUGGGGAAGGCAGAGAGGCACAAAGUGGGGAAAUGGAAAAGUUGACUAUGUCCGCUUUCCUACUGCAGUAUUCCAGAGAAGAAACUUCAAGCUCAGAAUAUUGGCUACUACCUGUGAUAAACAUUUAAAUUAUUGGAACGAGAGAGUUUUUAUAACUAAAUUUGAAAGAAGCAAUUUUUUUUAUCAAAGACCAACCCGAAGAUUCAUGACCACUACCUGUGAUUUCAUCCAUGUUGCAAGGAAAAUCCUGCCCCACUUCCCCAAUAGGAAGAGUGGUGGGGGAAUAAUAAAGUUGUUUUAUGAUGCAUCCUGUGGACUUCUACUCGACAGAAUGGUAACAUUCAACUGUAAUCAGGAUGAGCAAGCCACUUUAUUAAACUAAAAUUUUAAACUUUAAUAAAUAUAAUACAAACUGAAAAAUAAAAAUAAUUUUUCAACUCUACACAAGUAUGUUAACUGCAUAAACAGUGAGAUGUUACACAGGGCUGAGGCCUAUACUUCUUCAGUUUGUACAUUAAACGUCUCCAUGGAGGGUCAAUUGCAUCCUACCUAUUCUGACAGUUAUCAGGUAGCGAGAGAUUUGAGGAAGAGGCGCUUUUCUAAUCUGGGGUAGGAAAAGGAAUGAUACCAUGUAUCAUGAGAAGUAUUUGCACAUAGUGUGUCAAUUAAGCAAGUGCUCAGACUAUUAACAACAUUACUAUGUGAUGAAUGUUUAUACAGUGGAUUCAAAAAUAAGCUUCUUUCCAGAAAGCAGCUUAGUUUUCAUUAAUUAUUACCAGCAUCUUGGUAAUUAUUUAUUUAAUGGUUUAAAAGUUAAAGUUUCAAUCUAUAUUUGUUUUUUUAACAUCAGCCAAGGAAAUACAUGUCUGUUAUACUGCAUCUUUGGAAGUAUGCAAUAAGUGUAACUAUUGAAUCUAUAUUGAAGAGCCACAAGACACUGAAUUUAAUUGGACGAGACUAUUUUAUUUAGGAAGACAAUCAUCUCCUGUGAUCAGCUUAAGGUUUUUGUUUUGUUUUAUCUGGAACAAGCUAAGUUCAUAUUUAGAAAAUAAAGUUAGUUUUUUGGGUGCAUGAGUUUUAGAGUAAAUUAGUAAUUUAGUAAACUUUGACAUUUCCACUUUGUCUCCAAACACAUUUAAAUUCUAUCUGUCUGACUGAAGUUCUAAGGCAUUCUGUGGUUACUUAGAAAUGAUUCCUUAUAUUAAUGUUUACAAAUGCUAAAUUGUAUUUGUUAAAUACAUGUCUUAUUGCCUAAGAGUUUUCCUUUCUUAUAAGUUUAAUAUAAAUGUCUAGGAAAUAAGACUCCCAUUUAAUAGCUUAUAAAGAAUGCUGAUGUAUCAGCAGUGGCCUUGACAUUAUUGGAUACAAGUAAGAUCUACACUGAUGAUUAAAUCAAAUUGGCUAAGAUUAUUCGUUCUAAUAAAAGCACUGACUCCAUGAA
RNAcentral lists this long non-coding RNA (2890 nucleotides) under Homo sapiens (human). Its description in RNAcentral is "PREDICTED lncRNA (TCONS_00242270)". Lineage: Eukaryota; Metazoa; Chordata; Mammalia; Primates; Hominidae. The record is from RNAcentral.